GUCCAGACUCCUACGGGAGGCAGCAGUGGGGAAUAUUGCACAAUGGGGGAAACCCUGAUGCAGCGACGCCGCGUGAGUGAAGAAGUAUUUCGGUAUGUAAAGCUCUAUCAGCAGGGAAGAUAAUGACGGUACCUGAGUAAGAAGCCCCGGCUAACUACGUGCCAGCAGCCGCGGUAAUACGUAGGGGGCAAGCGUUAUCCGGAUUUACUGGGUGUAAAGGGAGCGUAGACGGCAUGGCAAGUCUGAAGUGAAAGCCCGGGGCUCAACCGCGGGACUGCUUUGGAAACUGUUAAGCUGGAGUGCAGGAGAGGUAAGUGGAAUUCCUAGUGUAGCGGUGAAAUGCGUAGAUAUUAGGAGGAACACCAGUGGCGAAGGCGGCUUACUGGACUGUAACUGACGUUGAGGCUCGAAAGCGUGGGGAGCAAACAGGAUUAGAUACCCGUGUAAC
Molecule: ribosomal RNA, 448 nt
Filed under: uncultured bacterium
Lineage: Bacteria
Description: bacterial SSU rRNA
Rfam family: Bacterial small subunit ribosomal RNA
Source: RNAcentral